GUCUGGAUGGCUCAGUCAGUUGAGCAUCUGACUUCAGCUCAAAUAGAGAUCUUACAGUUUGUGGGUUCAAGCCCCACUUUGGGCU
RNAcentral lists this transfer RNA (85 nucleotides) under Felis catus (domestic cat). It matches the Rfam family "tRNA". From Rfam's summary of the family: Transfer RNA (tRNA) molecules are approximately 80 nucleotides in length. Lineage: Eukaryota; Metazoa; Chordata; Mammalia; Carnivora; Felidae. The record is from Rfam by way of RNAcentral.